This 253-nucleotide ribosomal RNA is filed under the name uncultured bacterium. RNAcentral describes it as "partial 16S ribosomal RNA". It matches the Rfam family "Bacterial small subunit ribosomal RNA", at positions 524 to 776 of the family's 1533-position model. The record is from RNAcentral.
UACGUAGGGUGCAAGCGUUAAUCGGAAUUACUGGGCGUAAAGCGUGCGCAGGCGGCUUUGCAAGACAGAUGUGAAAUCCCCGGGCUUAACCUGGGAACUGCAUUUGUGACUGCAUGGCUAGAGUGCGGCAGAGGGGGAUGGAAUUCCGCGUGUAGCAGUGAAAUGCGUAGAUAUGCGGAGGAACACUGAUGGCGAAGGCAAUCCCCUGGGCCUGCACUGACGCUCAUGCACGAAAGCGUGGGGAGCAAACAGG